UUUAAAGUGAAAUGUAAGUCGCUUUGGAUAAAAGCGUCUGCUAAAUGUAAUGUA
This is a non-coding RNA of Gasterosteus aculeatus (three-spined stickleback), 54 nucleotides long. The record is from Rfam. NCBI's taxonomy places the organism in Eukaryota, Metazoa, Chordata, Actinopteri, Perciformes, Gasterosteidae.